This 328-nucleotide unclassified non-coding RNA is filed under the name soil metagenome. RNAcentral describes it as "partial contains 5.8S ribosomal RNA, internal transcribed spacer 2, and large subunit ribosomal RNA". The stretch from base 1 to 120 matches the Rfam family "5.8S ribosomal RNA", at positions 35 to 154 of the family's 154-position model. The record is from RNAcentral.
GAUGAAGAACGUAGCGAAAUGCGAUAAGUUAUGUGAAUUGCAGAAUUCAGUGAAUCAUCGAAUCUUUGAACGCACAUUGCGCCCCUUGGUAUUCCGAGGGGCAUGCCUGUUCGAGCGUCAUUAUAACCCUCAAGCUCAGCUUGGUGUUGGGGCCUGCUGCACUGGCAGCCCUUAAAAUCAGUGGCGGCGCCAUCUGGCUCUAAGCGUAGUAAUUCUUCUCGCUAUGGAGUCCUGGUGGAUGCUUGCCAUCAACCCCCAAUUUUUCUAUGGUUGACCUCGGAUCAGGUAGGGAUACCCGCUGAACUUAAGCAUAUCAAUAAGCGGAGGA